Molecule: ribosomal RNA, 519 nt
Filed under: Ecclisomyia kamtshatica
Lineage: Eukaryota; Metazoa; Arthropoda; Insecta; Trichoptera; Limnephilidae
Description: partial 16S ribosomal RNA
Source: RNAcentral
GUCUUUUUGAUAAAUAAUUUAAAGUCUAAUCUGCCCCCUGAAAUUAUUUAAAGGGCUGCGGUAUUUUAACCGUACAAAGGUAGCAUAAUAAUUAGGUUUUUAAUUGAAAUCUAGAAUGAAUGAUUGGACGAGAUACAAGCUGUUUUAAAAUAUUUAUAUAGAAUUUAAUUUUUUGGUUAAAAAGCUAAAAUUUGAUUAAAAGACGAGAAGACCCUAUAAAUCUUUAUAAUAUAAUAAUUUUAAUUGAUUAUAUAAUUUAAAUUAAUUUUAAUAGUUUAAUUAUUUUAUUGGGGCGAUAAAAAAAUUUAUAUAACUUUUUUAAUAAAAUUACUUAAAUUAAAGAUUUAAUAAAUUUUGAUCUAUUAAUAAUAAUUCAGAGAAUAAGAUACUUUAGGGAUAACAGCGUAAUUUUAAUUUUAAGUUCAUAUUAAAAUUAAAGAUUGCGACCUCGAUGUUGGAUUAAAAUUUAAUUUAAAUGCAAAAGUUUAAAAAUUAAGUCUGUUCGACUUUUAAAAUUUU